AAACCUAUUGACAUGUUCUCAUUGAAGUGAAUUUUGUAAGUUUUGCCCGCAUUCGUCGCCUCACGUCAUUUCAUGUCAUUUCACGCGUGAGGCGAUGAAUGGACAUGUUCAUUCUUUGUGAAAUGAGCUGGCAAAGAAAGUGGACGCCCAUGUGCAUUUGUAGUGAUAUCGCCUUCGAAACUUAUAACAGACAAUCUGACCAGGGACGACUGAGCACGCAAAUAUUUAACAACUAAUUGGAUGUAAAGUCGACCAGGAAUCGUCAAAAUCGGUGUGUAGCUUGUACAAUUCGCUGGAAAUUGGCCUAGAUUCGACACAAAAAGACGACGAAAUCGAGAACCGGUUCAGUGAAGAGGUAACUCGACAUAGGCUCGCCUUGACAUCAGUUCUCACUGUAAGGACGGUGGUAGAGUUUACAAACAUCAUGACCUCGCCGCAUUACGACGCAGUUUCCACGGAAUAUGAUGAUAUGUUGGCAUUUAGGACGCAGUACCAGUCGGUUUUCUUGAAAGAUGUUUUUGAUCAUAUUUCGCGAGAUGAUCUGAAUUUCAAGGACAUGGUGCUAGCAGACAUAGGGUGCGGAACAGGAGCGAUUCUGAAGUUACUGGCUCAAAAGGAGAGGCCUAGUAAAUUCCUUGCUGUAGAACCGUGUCAGCGCAUGCUCGAUAAUAUCCAAGAUGGCGGUCGCAUCCCGAUUGAAAAAUAUUGCAUGGACGGGAACACGUUUUCCAGCGUUGAACACGUGAGGUAUGACGUAUCAGUAAUGUUUGGGAUGAUUCACCAUAUUCCUCCGGAAAAGUUGUUAGACUUUCUUCGCGGGAUCUUCACACAGACCCGCCCGGGUGGUUCUACCUUAAUCAUUACGUACGGCCCCACCUUGCCUUUCCCACUCUCGCCCGAGCAUUUUAAUGCAGCCACCGCGUGUUACCCAGCCUUGGAUAUUCUGCAAGACCUCCUUCGACAAGCUGGGUUUGAUGACGUCACGUGCGCGAGGAAGUCUUAUGGUUACGUGGUCCUACCACGUGACCGUUGGCUGCACAUGAUUCGUAAUAGGUUCUUAUCAACCCUUUCAUCAUAUUCCGAUGAAGAGAUUGAGGAGGGAAUAAGAUCAAUGGAUUAUUCUGAACCUGUGGUGUUUGAGGAGUGGCUGUACUUCGUCAAGGCAGGCAGAUCGGCCUAAAGGGACAAGUCAUGCAUGAGAUGAAAUGUUGUUUUUUGGACGAAAAUGGCUUCCAGCUGGACCGUGACUUCUAAAAACAGGUUCAUUGAAUAUCACUUAACUCUAAUGAACGGUGUACAUGUAUUAAAACAGAAUCAAACAUUGGCUUUGGGGCCUAAAUGUUGCAAGCGAUGCCCAAGGCCGCUCCAACAUCAGCGACAAUAAUUUAGGUCAAAUUUCGGUCAGUUAAUGAGGAUAAACAGGAGUAUUAACCUCAUGGCCACCUCAAUUUCCACACUCCGAGCGGCCCGAUGGAUGUUCUCUUUCCCAACCCAGUUUCCAUUAAACCAUGAUGUCCCGGAUGGGUCACAGGGCAUGAAGAUGUCAGAAUUACCUGAUCAAUUAGCGAUCGAUCGGUCACCACAAAACCUACAGACAACAUGACGCAUGAAGCCUGGAGUAAAAGAGUGUUGUUUUGAAGAUACACAUGUGUAAAAGGGGAUUUCGCGUGAACAGCGUUCUAGCCACUCUUGUUUCCUGUUUAAAACUCCGGCGCACCGAAAUUCACUUUUUACAUUGGCUCUUUCACUACCAGCUCCUUUCAAAUCAA
Lineus longissimus is the source of this 1769-nucleotide long non-coding RNA. RefSeq lists it as uncharacterized. The transcript is spliced from 3 exons. Lineage: Eukaryota; Metazoa; Nemertea; Pilidiophora; Heteronemertea; Lineidae. The record is from RefSeq and is a predicted model, not a curated record.